RNAcentral lists this ribosomal RNA (19 nucleotides) under Gomphidius nigricans. RNAcentral's name for it is "partial 28S ribosomal RNA". The record is from RNAcentral. Lineage: Eukaryota; Fungi; Basidiomycota; Agaricomycetes; Boletales; Gomphidiaceae.
UGACCUCAAAUCAGGUAGC